Molecule: long non-coding RNA, 517 nt
Organism: Suricata suricatta (meerkat)
Lineage: Eukaryota; Metazoa; Chordata; Mammalia; Carnivora; Herpestidae
Exons: 2
Source: RefSeq, a predicted model, not a curated record
UCUCGCUUGUCCUGCACCUCGUCCUGCUGGUUCAGCUGGUGCGGGACAGACCGGCCGCCUCCCCGCGGGAGGAAGAGUUGGGGACGCGAGUGUGGAGGCAGAGCCCAGACCUCAGGCCGUCUCCCUACCCCCAUGCGGGCCGGGCACCCAGCCCCUGGCUCCUACCACCUGCCCAGAGGCCACUCGGCCCCCUAGACGGGCACCUCCAAGUGUGCGAGGAGCACGGCCUGGCGUCAGGUGAGGCUCGUGGCGCCCAACGAACCCAAACCCCGCCCAGCUGCCAGCGCGACCGGGACCCGCGGGCGACCGUGUACCCGCAGCGAGUAAACACGAGCCAGGAGCCUCGUCACCACAAAUUCUCCCCAUCGAUCCCAGAGCCCGUGGGGCUGUCGCCCCGCCCGACUCGGCAUUACGAUUCCUCAGCCACAGGCACCCUGGUGCGCGUGGGGGGGGGCGUUAUGUUUUUCCUGUGAUUCAUUAACACAAACACAUGGCUAGUAAAAAAAAUAAUAAGUUU